GACGAACGCUGGCGGCGUGCUUAACACAUGCAAGUCGAGCGGUAAGGCCCUUUCGGGGGUACGACGAGCGGCGAACGGGUGAGUAACGCGUGGGUGACCUGCCCUCAGCUCUGGGAUAAGCCUGGGAAACCGGGUCUAAUACCGGAUAUGACUCCAUGACGCAUGUUGUGGGGUGGAAAGCCUUGUGCGGCUGAGGAUGGGCCCGCGGCCUAUCAGCUUGUUGGUGGGGUGAGGCCUACCAAGGCGACGACGGGUAGCCGGCCUGAGAGGGCGACCGGCCACACUGGGACUGAGACACGGCCCAGACUCCUACGGGAGGCAGCAGUGGGGAAUCUUGCGCAAUGGGCGAAAGCCUGACGCAGCGACGCCGCGUGAGGGAUGACGGCCUGG
Molecule: ribosomal RNA, 390 nt
Filed under: uncultured bacterium
Lineage: Bacteria
Description: bacterial SSU rRNA
Rfam family: Bacterial small subunit ribosomal RNA
Source: RNAcentral